RNAcentral lists this ribosomal RNA (1117 nucleotides) under Arthrobacter sp. RNAcentral's name for it is "bacterial SSU rRNA". It matches the Rfam family "Bacterial small subunit ribosomal RNA", at positions 34 to 1165 of the family's 1533-position model. Lineage: Bacteria; Bacillati; Actinomycetota; Actinomycetes; Micrococcales; Micrococcaceae. The record is from RNAcentral.
CGGCCGUGCCGGGUGCUUACACAUGCAGUCGAACGAUGAAGCCCAGCUUGCUGGGUGGAUUAGUGGCGAACGGGUGAGUAACACGUGAGUAACCUGCCCCCGACUUUGGGAUAAGCCCGGGAAACUGGGUCUAAUACCGGAUAUGACUUCCUGCCGCAUGGUGGGUUGUUGAAAGAUUUAUCGGUGGGGGAUGGACUCGCGGCCUAUCAGCUUGUUGGUGAGGUAAUGGCUCACCAAGGCGACGACGGGUAGCCGGCCUGAGAGGGUGACCGGCCACACUGGGACUGAGACACGGCCCAGACUCCUACGGGAGGCAGCAGUGGGGAAUAUUGCACAAUGGGCGGAAGCCUGAUGCAGCGACGCCGCGUGAGGGAUGACGGCCUUCGGGUUGUAAACCUCUUUCAGUAGGGAAGAAGCGAAAGUGACGGUACCUGCAGAAGAAGCGCCGGCUAACUACGUGCCAGCAGCCGCGGUAAUACGUAGGGCGCAAGCGUUAUCCGGAUUUAUUGGGCGUAAAGAGCUCGUAGGCGGUUUGUCGCGUCUGCCGUGAAAGUCCGAGGCUCAACCUCGGAUCUGCGGUGGGUACGGGCAGACUAGAGUGAUGUAGGGGAGACUGGAAUUCCUGGUGUAGCGGUGAAAUGCGCAGAUAUCAGGAGGAACACCGAUGGCGAAGGCAGGUCUCUGGGCAUUUACUGACGCUGAGGAGCGAAAGCAUGGGGAGCGAACAGGAUUAGAUACCCUGGUAGUCCAUGCCGUAAACGUUGGGCACUAGGUGUGGGGGACAUUCCACGUUUUCCGCGCCGUAGCUAACGCAUUAAGUGCCCCGCCUGGGGAGUACGGCCGCAAGGCUAAAACUCAAAGGAAUUGACGGGGGCCCGCACAAGCGGCGGAGCAUGCGGAUUAAUUCGAUGCAACGCGAAGAACCUUACCAAGGCUUGACAUGUGCCAGACCGCUCCAGAGAUGGGGUUUCCCUUCGGGGCUGGUUCACAGGUGGUGCAUGGUUGUCGUCAGCUCGUGUCGUGAGAUGUUGGGUUAAGUCCGCAACGAGCGCACCCUCGUUCCAUGUUGCCAGCACGUAGUGGUGGGGACUCAUGGGAGACUGCCGGGGUCAACUCG